RNAcentral lists this ribosomal RNA (892 nucleotides) under uncultured bacterium. RNAcentral's name for it is "bacterial SSU rRNA". It matches the Rfam family "Bacterial small subunit ribosomal RNA", at positions 505 to 1397 of the family's 1533-position model. The record is from RNAcentral.
GUGCCAGCAGCCGCGGUAAUACGUAGGUGGCAAGCGUUGUCCGGAUUUAUUGGGCGUAAAGCGAGCGCAGGCGGUUUUUUAAGUCUGAUGUGAAAGCCUUCGGCUCAACCGAAGAAGUGCAUCGGAAACUGGGAAACUUGAGUGCAGAAGAGGACAGUGGAACUCCAUGUGUAGCGGUGAAAUGCGUAGAUAUAUGGAAGAACACCAGUGGCGAAGGCGGCUGUCUGGUCUGUAACUGACGCUGAGGCUCGAAAGUAUGGGUAGCAAACAGGAUUAGAUACCCUGGUAGUCCAUACCGUAAACGAUGAAUGCUAAGUGUUGGAGGGUUUCCGCCCUUCAGUGCUGCAGCUAACGCAUUAAGCAUUCCGCCUGGGGAGUACGGCCGCAAGGCUGAAACUCAAAGGAAUUGACGGGGGCCCGCACAAGCGGUGGAGCAUGUGGUUUAAUUCGAAGCUACGCGAAGAACCUUACCAGGUCUUGACAUACUAUGCAAAUCUAAGAGAUUAGACGUUCCCUUCGGGGACAUGGAUACAGGUGGUGCAUGGUUGUCGUCAGCUCGUGUCGUGAGAUGUUGGGUUAAGUCCCGCAACGAGCGCAACCCUUAUUAUCAGUUGCCAGCAUUAAGUUGGGCACUCUGGUGAGACUGCCGGUGACAAACCGGAGGAAGGUGGGGAUGACGUCAAAUCAUCAUGCCCCUUAUGACCUGGGCUACACACGUGCUACAAUGGAUGGUACAACGAGUUGCGAACUCGCGAGAGUAAGCUAAUCUCUUAAAGCCAUUCUCAGUUCGGAUUGUAGGCUGCAACUCGCCUACAUGAAGUCGGAAUCGCUAGUAAUCGCGGAUCAGCAUGCCGCGGUGAAUACGUUCCCGGGCCUUGUACACACCGCCCGU